RNAcentral lists this ribosomal RNA (163 nucleotides) under Parafestuca albida. Its description in RNAcentral is "5.8S ribosomal RNA". It matches the Rfam family "5.8S ribosomal RNA". Rfam says of the family: 5.8S ribosomal RNA (5.8S rRNA) is a component of the large subunit of the eukaryotic ribosome. It is transcribed by RNA polymerase I as part of the 45S precursor that also contains 18S and 28S rRNA. The record is from RNAcentral. Lineage: Eukaryota; Viridiplantae; Streptophyta; Magnoliopsida; Poales; Poaceae.
AUCCACACGACUCUCGGCAACGGAUAUCUCGGCUCUCGCAUCGAUGAAGAACGUAGCGAAAUGCGAUACCUGGUGUGAAUUGCAGAAUCCCGCGAACCAUCGAGUCUUUGAACGCAAGUUGCGCCCGAGGCCAUCCGGCCGAGGGCACGCCUGCCUGGGCGUC